Molecule: non-coding RNA, 72 nt
Organism: Trichoplax adhaerens
Lineage: Eukaryota; Metazoa; Placozoa; Uniplacotomia; Trichoplacea; Trichoplacidae
Source: Rfam
GCUUCUAUAGUUCAAAAGGUAGAACAAUUGGCUUCUAUCCAAUUAAUAAGAGUUCGAGUCUCUUUAGAAGUU